This 1173-nucleotide long non-coding RNA is filed under the name Anas zonorhyncha (Eastern spot-billed duck). Its description in RNAcentral is "lncRNA (ENSAZOG00000016476.1)". The record is from RNAcentral. Lineage: Eukaryota; Metazoa; Chordata; Aves; Anseriformes; Anatidae.
GUAUUCAGGUUAGAUAAACCUCACAUGUCCUCCUUGGAAUGGGUAGUGUCCUGUUCAUGUUUAUUGUUUUCUUACAGUACUAGUCCAGCUUUUUUUUUUUUUUCCAUGAUGCCUGCUGAAGCAAUAUCUUAAUAACAGGGGAGACAAGAUAAGUAAUACCUUUUCUAAGAGAAAAUAUUCCUGAAUUCUGGCAAAUUCUGAAAUGUUAGUUCAAAAAGUAAACAUCCUUACUUUUUAAUGCGGACUUUUCCACCCUUUUUGGAAAGGGCACAUCCUCUGACAUGAUACACUGUGGUUUCUAGAUAUCAUUAGAUAAUGACUGAUCUGACAGCACCCUCCAGGCACAAGAUUUUACUUUGAUUGGGAUGAGUUGCCAUCAAGCACAGUUCGUUAGGAGAAAAUCAGAGAACACCAGUCUCACUGGUACAGACCCAGCUGGCAUGGGUCAAAUUUAAGCAGGGGAUGUCAUGACUGCAAGAACUGAUCUCUCUAAGCAGUAACAAGAAGUGCCUGGAACUGGAAAGUUGGGUGAGCUUUGCUGUUUUGUUUUCUUUGUUUUGUUUUGUUUUGUUUUGAAGGGGGUAGAAUGAGUGGAGCUAUGUUAUGUUCUUUCUAAAGAACUGUGACUAAACCAUGACGAGUUAGAAGCAUGUGUAAUAUAUGCAUGAAAUCUGCAGCACCCUUCCUUAAAAUUAAUGCAGAUCAAGAGACCCUGAUUGUUUUGGACCACAGAGCAAGAAGCAAGGCCUACAGGCAAGUCCCCUGCCAGCAUUCUUCUCUGGAGAGCAUCAACAGGAAAAGAUCAACACAACUUCAGCAGUGGAAGUGAGCUGGGAAGUGGGGAUCACUGAGAAGAAAAAAGAAAAAGCGGCUUGGGAUUUUCAAGAAACCAUAGAAAUGUUACUGCCUUUUUCCCUUGGCUUGGGGCAAGAGCAUCAACUUGGCCAUCAGACUUAUUCUGGGCCUUUGAAAAUGACAGACUCAGGGCAUUUAUGCUCUUUUAUUUAUGCUCUUUUUUUUUCUUUUUUUUUUUCUGUUUAACAAAAUAAAAGAAUUUCCAUCUUUCAGUUGUCAGUAGUGGUGAUGAGCAAAAUCAGAUAAACGUGGGGAAAUUCUUAUUCACUGGACCCUAGCUAUAUAAUGCAGCCAUUAUCUUUUAAUAGUUAACAUAAA